This 437-nucleotide ribosomal RNA is filed under the name uncultured bacterium. RNAcentral describes it as "partial 16S ribosomal RNA". It matches the Rfam family "Bacterial small subunit ribosomal RNA", at positions 28 to 507 of the family's 1533-position model. The record is from RNAcentral.
GAUGAACGCUGGCGGCAUGCUUUACACAUGCAAGUCGGACGGGAAGUGGUGUUUCCAGUGGCGGCCGGGUGUGUAACGCGUAAGAACCUGCCCUUGGGAGGGGAACAAUAGCUGGAAACGGCUGUUAAUACACCGUAGGCUGAGGAGCGAAAGGAGGAAUGCGGCCAAGGGGGGGCUCGCGUGUGAGUAGCUAGGUGGGGAGGUAAUAGGUUAAACAGGCCGUGGUCAGUAGCUGGUCGGAGAGGAUGAUCAGCCACACGGGGACGGUGAGACGACGCAGACUCCGGCGGGAGGCAGCGGGGAGGAAUGUACCGCAAUGGGCGAAAGCCUGACGGAGCGAUGCGGCGUGGAGGUAAAAGGCCUAGGGGUCAUGAACUUCUGUUUCUGGAGAAGAGACAAUGACGGUAUCUGGUGAAUAAGCACCGGCUAACUCCGUG